Mustela lutreola (European mink) is the source of this 1193-nucleotide long non-coding RNA. RefSeq lists it as uncharacterized. The record is from RefSeq and is a predicted model, not a curated record. Lineage: Eukaryota; Metazoa; Chordata; Mammalia; Carnivora; Mustelidae. The transcript has 4 exons.
GUGAUGCUCUGGACGUUGAGAAGCUUUGGUCCAGGGCUGAAGCUUUCAUAGGACAAGAAAGGCCUAGACGCACACAUAAACUUGCCCAAGGAUCACACACCAUGUUAGUAACAGAGCCAGGGCUGAAACUGGUACGGAGUGAAGACGGAAGAAAACACAGAAAAUGAAAAUGAAUCUACAGUGACAGAAAGCAGAUCGAUGAAGAGGGUUCGGAAGGGGGGGGAGGAAGAUAUUGGAAGAGAGCCCAAGGUGAUGUCUGGGGAAGGCGAGGGGAAGCAGGCCACGGCGGAACAGCAGGAACGGAAGCUGAGCUGCAGAAGGUUACGUGAGGCCCAGCCGGCUGCUCACCCAACCCAAACUGAAUGGGAGACACAGGAUGGGCUCUAGAUCAAAGCUACUUGCUUGAGCAUCUUAAAUUUUGUUAAUAGGCCUUUUCAUUUGGCAUUUUCAUUUGCAGGAGAAAGCUUCAGCGAUGUUCAGAGAAAAACAGUGAUUAAAAAAAUAGCAUAAGGACGAAAGGGACGUUGGACAGGGAAGCAAGGUCACUGGCGUGAGAAUGGUGGUUUGCUCCCCAAGACCUCACCAAAUAGUCAAGGUUCCUUCAAGAAUUCAAGGUCCCCUGUUAACUCUUCAGGUUUAACCGCAUGGAACCAAAAAGCCCAGAAUGAGUUUGUUUGUCUCAUAUGAAGUCAAUCCAGAGUGAGAGUCCAGGGCCCCAGUCAAGGGUAGCUCAGUAAAGUCAGCAGGAGCCCAGGGUCCUGCUGGCUCUCCCCUCCUGGAUUCCCAGGGUAUAGCCCAGUCCUUUUGGCCCCAGAUGGCUUCUGAAACUCUACACACAGGUAGCAGGAGGCCGGAGGGUGGAGAAAGCAAACCAGGCACGCCCUCUCCCUUGUUGUACUUCUGGAAAUCUUAGGUCUUCUUGGCCAGAAUUCUUUGCAUGGCCACACUAGAAAGGAUGCUGGAACCUUCUGCUGGUGGAUACCUACUGCUGCACUCUACCUCAGGACUAAGUCAAUGAAUUCCUGUGGCUCACGCAACACACAAGCAGAGGGGAGACCGAGGGAGCUCCUUUUGUGCGGCACAAAGAAGAGAGGCAUUCCUCCUGGUCUCCUGGCAGGCAGCCUUUUCUAUUAACAUGAUUAAAAUACUCUAAACACUGUUUCAGUUGGCCAAGCUGAACCUACUGAAGGAAG